Molecule: ribosomal RNA, 1361 nt
Filed under: Escherichia coli
Lineage: Bacteria; Pseudomonadati; Pseudomonadota; Gammaproteobacteria; Enterobacterales; Enterobacteriaceae
Description: partial 23S ribosomal RNA
Rfam family: Bacterial large subunit ribosomal RNA
Source: RNAcentral
UUCCAGGAAAAGCCUCUAAGCAUCAGGUAACAUCAAAUCGUACCCCAAACCGACACAGGUGGUCAGGUAGAGAAUACCAAGGCGCUUGAGAGAACUCGGGUGAAGGAACUAGGCAAAAUGGUGCCGUAACUUCGGGAGAAGGCACGCUGAUAUGUAGGUGAAGUCCCUCGCGGAUGGAGCUGAAAUCAGUCGAAGAUACCAGCUGGCUGCAACUGUUUAUUAAAAACACAGCACUGUGCAAACACGAAAGUGGACGUAUACGGUGUGACGCCUGCCCGGUGCCGGAAGGUUAAUUGAUGGGGUCAGCGCAAGCGAAGCUCUUGAUCGAAGCCCCGGUAAACGGCGGCCGUAACUAUAACGGUCCUAAGGUAGCGAAAUUCCUUGUCGGGUAAGUUCCGACCUGCACGAAUGGCGUAAUGAUGGCCAGGCUGUCUCCACCCGAGACUCAGUGAAAUUGAACUCGCUGUGAAGAUGCAGUGUACCCGCGGCAAGACGGAAAGACCCCGUGAACCUUUACUAUAGCUUGACACUGAACAUUGAGCCUUGAUGUGUAGGAUAGGUGGGAGGCUUGGAAGUGUGGACGCCAGUCUGCAUGGAGCCGACCUUGAAAUACCACCCUUUAAUGUUUGAUGUUCUAACGUUGACCCGUGAUCCGGGUUGCGGACAGUGUCUGGUGGGUAGUUUGACUGGGGCGGUCUCCUCCUAAAGAGUAACGGAGGAGCACGAAGGUUGGCUAAUCCUGGUCGGACAUCAGGAGGUUAGUGCAAUGGCAUAAGCCAGCUUGACUGCGAGCGUGACGGCGCGAGCAGGUGCGAAAGCAGGUCAUAGUGAUCCGGUGGUUCUGAAUGGAAGGGCCAUCGCUCAACGGAUAAAAGGUACUCCGGGGAUAACAGGCUGAUACCGCCCAAGAGUUCAUAUCGACGGCGGUGUUUGGCACCUCGAUGUCGGCUCAUCACAUCCUGGGGCUGAAGUAGGUCCCAAGGGUAUGGCUGUUCGCCAUUUAAAGUGGUACGCGAGCUGGGUUUAGAACGUCGUGAGACAGUUCGGUCCCUAUCUGCCGUGGGCGCUGGAGAACUGAGGGGGGCUGCUCCUAGUACGAGAGGACCGGAGUGGACGCAUCACUGGUGUUCGGGUUGUCAUGCCAAUGGCACUGCCCGGUAGCUAAAUGCGGAAGAGAUAAGUGCUGAAAGCAUCUAAGCACGAAACUUGCCCCGAGAUGAGUUCUCCCUGACUCCUUGAGAGUCCUGAAGGAACGUUGAAGACGACGACGUUGAUAGGCCGGGUGUGUAAGCGCAGCGAUGCGUUGAGCUAACCGGUACUAAUGAACCGUGAGGCUUAACCUUACAACGCCGAAGGUGUUU